AACGAACGCUGGCGGCAUGCCUAACACAUGCAAGUCGAACGAGACCUUCGGGUCUAGUGGCGCACGGGUGCGUAACGCGUGGGAAUCUGCCCUUGGGUUCGGAAUAACAGUGAGAAAUUACUGCUAAUACCGGAUGAUGUCUUCGGACCAAAGAUUUAUCGCCCAGGGAUGAGCCCGCGUAGGAUUAGCUAGUUGGUGGGGUAAUGGCCUACCAAGGCGACGAUCCUUAGCUGGUCUGAGAGGAUGAUCAGCCACACUGGGACUGAGACACGGCCCAGACUCCUACGGGAGGCAGCAGUGGGGAAUAUUGGACAAUGGGCGCAGGCCUGAUCCAGCAAGGCCGCGUGAGUGAUGAAGGCCUUAGGGUUGUAAAGCUCUUUUACCCGGGAUGAUAAUGACAGUACCGGGAGAAUAAGCUCCGGCUAACUCCGUG
Molecule: ribosomal RNA, 433 nt
Filed under: uncultured bacterium
Lineage: Bacteria
Description: partial 16S ribosomal RNA
Rfam family: Bacterial small subunit ribosomal RNA
Source: RNAcentral